This is an RNA transcript of Stegostoma tigrinum, 15702 nucleotides long. It is a transcript of the gene named diacylglycerol lipase, alpha, with no coding region annotated. NCBI's taxonomy places the organism in Eukaryota, Metazoa, Chordata, Chondrichthyes, Orectolobiformes, Stegostomatidae. The record is from RefSeq and is a predicted model, not a curated record. The transcript has 23 exons.
CAUAGGUUCAGGCGGAUUCAGCUCGUGCGUGUUCCCGUGAUUAUGGGAGGCGGCGCGUUCUCGCGAUGCUUGGCCGUCGCUGCUGCUGCUCCUCCCGGGAGCUGGAAGGUCCAACUGAGAUCGUAGGAUGGAGACAGUGAUGAGCGGGGUCCGUAACCCUGCAGUGUGGCACACUGUCAUUGCCAAAUGCUGCCUGACCUGCAAAGAAAUGGAGCAAAUCUGUGAAGUUGUUUCUAACUAAUUUACAAGGAGCAUAUGUCCACAAGGUUGAUCAUUGGUCAUCAUCUGUAAAAUGUACCCGAUUGAUGUUUGGCAUUGGAUUGAGGAGAAGAAAAUGAAACUAGUUGUACUUUGAUUUAAUCAAUGUUAUGAUUUGGGCAUUAAUGAACCACUUAACAGUUGCUGGAGACCAUGCCAGGAAUUGUGAUAUUCAGGCGGCGUUGGUCAGUGGGUAGUGAUGACUUGGUGCUGCCAGGAAUCUUUCUGUUUCUUAUUCACACUACAUGGUUUAUAGUGCUUGCUGUGGUUCUCUUCGGCCUAACAUACAGCCCUCAAGAACAGUGCUCUCUCAAUCUGGUUGAUCAUGGCAGGGGUUACUUGGGCAUUCUUAUUGCCUGUGUGAUAUCAGAGGCUGCUAUAAUUUGGCUUAGUAUGCGAGGAAGUAUCCUUUACACAGAGCCACGAGAUUCAAUGCAGUACAUCCUGUACAUCCGUAUGGCAAUUGUGCUAAUAGAAUUCGCAUACGCAAUCAUAGGAAUUGUCUGGUUAGUGCGGUACUACCACUCCUGUAAUGACACUACUGCAAAGAAUGUUACAUUGGGAAUUGUAACCUGCAAUUGGGUCGUUAUUCUGAGCGUUUGUAUAACUGUAAUGUGCGUCUUCGACAGAACAGGCAGAACGUUUGUGAAACUUCGGGCAACGAAACGGCGUCAACGUAACCUCAGAACUUACAAUUUACGCCAUCGUUUGGAGGAAGAACAAGCCAGUAGCUGGAGCCGGAGACUGAAAUUUUUCCUUUGUUGUACACGUACACAGGACACACAGACUGAUGCCUAUUCUGAAGUUGCUUUUCUUUUUGCUGAGUUCUUUCGAGACUUGGAUAUUGUGCCCUCCGACAUCAUUGCUGGCCUUGUAUUGUUACGUCAGAGGCAGAGGGCCAAGAGAUUUGCUGUUUUGGAUGAGGCAAACAAUGACAUUUUGGCCUUUUUAUCAGGAAUUCCAGUCACAAGAAAUACUAAGUAUCUUGACUUGAAGAAUGCACAAGAGAUGCACAUGUAUAAGGAGGUGUGCUACUACAUGCACUUUGCACUGGCUGCCUAUGGCUGGCCCUUGUACCUAAUGCGAAACCCAACCUGUGGACUUUGCAAGCUGGCUAGCUCAUGCUCGUGUUGCUGCUUUUGCCUCACUCGACCCAGAUAUGCUCCAAGUGUGACGGUUGAGGAAGACAACUGUUGCAACUGCAAUGUCAUUGCUAUCAAGCGCCACUUUCUGGAUGAGAAUUUUUGUUUAGUUGAUAUCGUAUAUACUUCAUGUCACGAUGCGGUUUUUGAAACCCCUUUCUUUGUUGCUGUGGAUCAUAUGAAAAAGAAGGUUGUGAUCAGUAUUCGAGGGACCCUUUCACCAAAGGAUGCCCUAACUGAUCUGACUGGAGAUGCUGAACGAUUACCAGUAGAGGGCCAUCAUGGUACUUGGCUUGGCCACAAGGGCAUGGUUCUAUCCGCAGAAUACAUCAAAAAGAAGCUAGAGCAGGAGAUGAUUCUUUCUCAAGCUUUUGGCCGAGACCUGGUAAAAGGGACCAAACAUUACGGAUUAGUUGUGGUUGGACAUUCCUUAGGAGCUGGAACUGCAGCCAUUCUUUCUUUCUUGCUCAGACCUCAGUACCCUACACUACAUUGUUAUGCUUACUCUCCACCUGGAGGACUUCUUAGCUCCGAUGCUAUGGAAUACUCCAAGGAGUUUGUGACAUCUGUCAUUCUUGGCAAGGAUCUGGUACCAAGACUUGGUUUGUCGCAGCUAGAGGUCUUUCGUAGACACUUACUUGAAGUGUUGCAGAAGAGCAAUAAACCAAAGUGGAGAAUAAUCAUGGGCGGUACUAAAUGUAUUCCUAAAUCUGAACUGCCAGAUGAUGAGGAAGUGCCUAACAUUCAGAGUAACAGGCAAUGGACCUACCCCAGUGACCUUACUAUCGCUCUUUCUGCUAGUGUGCCACUCUACCCACCAGGUCGGAUUAUACACGUCGUACACAACCAUCCUGAGGAAAAGUGUUGCUGUGGACAGGAAGAGUCAACUUACUAUGCUAUUUGGAGUGACAACAAGACUUUGGAUGAGGUCAUCAUCUCUGCUGCCAUGCUGAAUGAGCACAUGCCUCAUGUUGUAAUGGAUGGAUUACACAAGGUGUUGGAGAAUUACAACAAAGGAAAGACUGCUUUGUUAGGAGCCGCAAAGGUCAUGGUCAGCCCAACAGAGGUGGAUUUGAAUCCUGACAUGAUUGUUCAGCAGCAGCCUCAAGCAACAAAGCAUGGAGAUCAAAGGAAGAAUGCCAGUAUAAAGAGUAAGACAAAAUCUGAACUGAGUUUUGAAGAUCUUUAUCAGACAAAACAGAAGCCGUGCCAAAAGGACUCUGUUGAGUUGCUUCUAAUGAACACUAAGGAGAGGCUGGUAACUGAAAUAGAGGAGCGUAGGGCUCCUCUUGCCACAGUGGAAAGUCUGUCUGACAACGAGUCUAUCUACAGUUUUGAUUCCCGCCGCUCCUCUGGAUUUCGCAGUAUAAGGGGUUCUCCAAGUCUGCAUGUCGUAAUGGAGAAAGAUGAGUCACAUUGUUUCUACAUUGAUCCAGCAAUUCCAGAGGAGAAUCCUUCCCUGAGCUCCCGGACUGAGUUACUGGCUGCAGACAGUUUAUCUAAGCAUUCUCAGGAGGUGCAACCACUCGAACCACUACAGAACAGCUGUUAUUCUUUGCCUAGUCCCCUGCAAGCGGACCUUGGUGAGCAGGAGAACAAACAGGCUGCAGAGGUGGAAACAGAUAGCUUUUCAGAUAAGUUGCCAAUAGAAGACAGUAAAGAAUGGACAGAGAGCCUGCGAGACGUGCCAAGUCCACAAGUUCUUGAAUUUGCUGAGUUUAUAGACAGCCUUUUCAAUCUGGAUGGAAAAAGCAGCUCCUUCCAAGACAUUUAUCAUUUGGUACUUGAUGAUAGUUUAGAAGAAUAUAAUGAAAUUCCCAAGUCAGUAAGUGAGCAUGAGAUCCUGAUGCGAGCACAGUUUGAACCCAAUUUAGUGCCAAAACCGCCCCGUUUGUUUGUUGGAUCAGCAGAUGCUGGGACCUCAUCUGGGAUUUCGGUGUCUCCAUCCUUUCCAUUCAGUUCAUCGGGUGAACUGAUGGACAUUACUCCAACCUGCAUAAGCAGUCAGGAGUGCCUGACUAUGGAUACAAAGUUGAGAACUUCAACUCCAACAGACCACCAACCCAACUCUAAUAAAUCUGCAGAUGUUAUCAUUUCAGCUCUUUAGAACCUCUGUAAAGAACGUAAUUAAUAUGCUGACUUUGAAGUGGUUUUUGCUUCAAAGAGCAGAACUGUGAAACUCAGAAGGUGGGAGAAAACCACUUGAGCCCUUUAUUGAAAUCAGGCAGUCUUACAUUAAUCUCUUGAUUUUUAUGUGGGUAUUGAACAAGGUGAAUAAGAUGACUAGCAGUUGGUUGACAGUUGAUUGAUAAGAGGCAGAGUAUUACAUUCCCUAAAGAGUAUUGUUCUCUUUUUGAGAUUGUUGGGAAUUUUUUUUAUAAUGGAAUUUCAAAGCGUCCAGAUUUGAAUAUAGGUUUCACCCACUGCAUACAUCAACUUGAUCCUUUUAUUGAUAUGUGGCAUUAGUACAAAUCUCACCAGUAGUAGGAACCAAGGGAUUACAGCACAGAAUCACUCAUAAAGACAUUUCAACUCUCUUCACCAUUGUAUUUCCAGCUUUGUUGGGGAUAAGUAGAAAACUGAAUGCCAGAAAUCUGAAAUAUAAACAGAAAUAAAAGUGGUUCAGUCAAAAUUUGAAAGAGAAAAGUCAAGUUUAUUUUGCAGCUGACAGGCUCGGAGGUGGACAUUCCAGCAAAUUCAUGUGGCAGUGUCUUAUGCCCCUUUCCCAACAUAGCCCUGUGCUCCAGUAAUUUUGCUGAAAGCAUUUCCUGAAGUAGUGACAACCUGCCAGAAAAUGGUGCAAGAGACAGUUGACAAGUCUUGAGAGCUUGUUAUAGAGAUGUUUGAGAUGAUGAAGGUGAGACACAAGAAACACAGCAUUUCCAUGGAGUUGAGGUAGCUGCACAGUGGGGAGCCAGUCUUACAGUGUGCAAAUGGUGAACAGAACAAUGAACAGAACAGUGAAGAGCUCAUGUGCUGACACUCAGUGGUCGCUGUUUUGAGCAGAGCUUGCGAAAUGUUUCAUGGCAAGAUGCUGAGGCAGUCGUGGGGAUGUCAGUGAGUAAAGCAAACGGAUCAAGGCAGUAUUCUGUGCAAUUGAUAACAGGUGAGGCUAAGCAUGCGGCUCAGCCACUGUGAGGUGGCAAUAGGUUUUGAUGAGGAGACACUUUGCCAGGAGCACAUAGAGUUCCUAGCUGCAGUGGGAUGCAGAAAUGAUGCUGAAUGGCAGGGAGAACAUAAAGAUGCUGUACUCACCAUAGGAAUCAAUUUCGUCAACAUGGCAAAGAGCAUUUCUGCUCGAGGCUACAUAUAUUAAAACAUUAUAUUCAGUAAUGUAUGCACACUCAUGGUGAAAGAAUUUGUGCACCACUGGUUGAGUGAGCAUACCUUUCCCAUAGGCAGUACCAAUAGUGCUGAGUUUCAUUGCCACUAGGUCAUUCACAUGUAUAGCAUUUCACAAGGUGCUAUCUAUCAUAGCAAGUGUUGGGUGCCCUCUGAGAGAGCAUUGGAAUACGCUGAGUUCUGGACUGAUGUAGCAAAACUGAUGAGACCACUCAGGCACAGAGUGCGAUGGGCAUGAUGUCUUCAUGUUCAUGGUGUGAUUAACUGCACCAAUGUGACAAUCAAGAUUGCAGCAAUGCAGCCAGUGUCAUUUAUAGAAAGUAUGCAAUUUAACUCCUUCAGUGUGCGGCUUAUAUGAAACAACUGCAAGCAUUUUCUGCAGGUGUGUGAAAGAUUUCUUGGCAGUUGCAAAGCUGUAUUCUUCCUCAGUCAAUAAGACCAUAAGACACAGGAACAGAAGUAGGCCAAUCAAUCCAUUACUCUGCAAUUCAGUGAGAUCAUGGUAGAUCUGAGUCUUCAGUUGCAUUUUUCUGCUUUUCCCCAGAGCCCUUGAUUUCCUAACGAAUUAAAAAUCUAUAUAUCUCAGCCUCUAAUGUUCUUAAUGACCCAGCCUCAGUAGCCCUCUGUGGUAAUGAAUUCCAUAAAUUCACUACUUUCUGAGAGAAGACGUUCCUCCUCUUCUGUAUCUUAAAUGUCCAAACCCUUAUUCUGAGACAAUGCGUCUAGUCCUGGAAAAUAAUCUUUCUGCAUCUGUCUUGUCCAAGAAUCUUGGCAGCAGGUGCUCAUGCCACCAGAGACUAGAUGGAUGGCUAUCAUUUGAAGGAGGGUUCUUGACACCUAUGUAUAAUCCUACAAUGGAGGCACAGAGUUGCUACACCUCUUGCAUUUUAAUACGAGGUCUCCAUAGAGCAAGCUGUUGGACUCCUGACAAUGUGGUUCUGGUGCCUUAACUGAUCAAGGGUGGACAGGAUGUGGCAUUUCCUCCUGUAAACUCCUUGCAUGAUGGUAUUGAGAAAUGUUGACCCUGUGAAUGGAGAUGUAGAGGAGUGCCCCAUGUCUUUAGAGGAGGAGUGCCCAUGUCUUCAGAAGAAGAGGAAGAUGUGAUGUAACAUGGCAAUCCUGUUCUGCAAGGCUUUAUGGACAUGCAGCUGAGCUGUUGAACCAGUUUACUGAGAUGGUGAAAGAGCCCAGAUCAAUCGAUUCCAGAUAUGAUCCUUGUGAGGAAGGCUCAUUUUAGCUGGUAUUCAUACCACAUACAAUGAACUGCCAUGAACAAAUUGCCUGAUGGGCAGAGUUGUCUCCUAUAUCUCCAUAAUAAUGUCUGGAAGACAUGUUACCAUCAGCAGAAACUCCCCACCUUUGUGCCACAUGUCUACUACUUCAUGUUGCCGUAAUGUUCUCAAACCAGAGGGUCAUGGAAUUCAUAGUGUUGGCAUAAAACAUUUCAUUAAAUUGUGGGUCAAUCAGUGAACAGAAGAAUUAAGAAAAACCACAAUGUUUUGGUCUCACCUUUAGGUGGCCUCUCCUAUAAAGUGCACUCCCUCUACCCUCAGUAGACUUGAAGAUGGAGACAAACUGAUUUCUUUUCUCUGCAUGAAGCUGAGGUGUCCGUGGCGCACCUGCUCAGAGAUUUGACACUGCUCCUGCUGAUCUAUCUGCAAAGGUCAAGAAUAACCAAGGUUUAUGAGCAUUGGCUAUUUUGGUGGUGUCCCAGGGGAGCAAAAGGAAUGGCCAGUGCCAGAGUCAAGAGCUGGAUGCUUGAGACUGUGGUGUGUCUCAUUCAUGUGUGAUAUCCAUAACUACACUGUUGCCUUCUCCACAGAUUGUUGUGGUGUGGUUGUACAUAGCUCUGGAGUGAACCAGAGAAAUAUUCUCCAUUGUCCCCGAGCAUUAUGCAUCGUCAGGUUGUUCUGCUUGUGGGUAUGCUCGUGAUCAACUGCAGAAUUGGAGGCCUCUGUCCUGAAUGUAGCAUUGCACUCAGAUUGCCAGAUCUCAAAAGGAAUUUGAAGUGUUGCACACAAUGUACUGGCCAUGACGUGAGGCAGCUCCAUCUGUGCCUGUUUUGUCUGACUGGCUAGCAUCCUGUCAAUCUCCAGAAACCAAACACUUCCCUGGUAGGCACCAUCUCUAACAGGGCAUUCAGGAAAUUAUUGACACAUCAAGGGGGUCACCCUUCUAUGGGUACAUACCAUGCCGACACACAGGUGUAUUCCAACCUCUGCCAGCACCCUCAAGUUUGUCCAGUCUCUGCCAAGCAUGUCCCACAGAACUUGCCAGUUGGACAGUAAUUAGCUACUUCCUUCAAAAUUGCAUUGAACUUUUGCAGAGAUAUGUCCUAGAAAGGACCAAAGUUGGAAUACCAUCCCAGGAAUGAAAAUUCAAUGCAGUACUUCAGGUGGGGUUCCUUAUAAUAAGCAGCUUCUUGAUUUCAAAUAAAGGGACUAUGUUCAAAUCAUUAAAGUCUUGUCUCAUUCAAAUACUGACAGACCUCAUAUCUAUUUCUAACAUUUUCUGUUUUUAUUUACAAUUCUUUUCAAACGCACCAUGUAGGACAACUGCCUCAGGUGUAAGAAGAAAAUGUUGGAAAUAAAUUAAUUUUGCACAAUAUUUUUAUGAGAUGAAGGUAUUCUGGAGAAAAUCAUGUUACAUGUUUUAAUGUUUGUUGCACUAUGUAACUUAUGAAGAAUUCUCAUAUUUGCCACGUUUUGUUUUUGAGUAGAAUUUUGCCUGAAAUUGAAUAUUCUCCCACUCUGCAGUUAAAUUGGAAUGCUCUAUGACUCUUUCUGUUUACAACAGGCAAUGCAAACAGAGAGCAAAUUACUUAUAAUCAAAACAGAUAAAUUACUUGCAAAAUGGAGCAGAAUAAAUGGUGAUGGAUAACUAAGGGAACUGGGAAUAGAAACUGAAUCCUGAAAUGUUGAGACAUUUUACUCCCAAAAUUAUUGUUGGGUGACUUGAAUUAUGCCAAUGGGAUUUGAUUGUUAACCUACGGAAUCCUGCUAAUUCUGUUACCAUUUCAUCUCUUCUGGUGGUCUUUCCUAAUUCUGAGCUACUCUGACUUUUUCACUGCUCUUUGCAAUUAAGUGCUUAGCCAGGUUGCUACUGUAUGCACUGAUGUGUGAACACAGUUGCAUUUUUAAAAAUGUGUGCAGUGCUUUAGAAUGGGAUUUUUGGUGUCUGCACAUUUUAACAACAAUGAUGAAUUUCAGGUGUGGUGGCAGGUGAGCAGUUGACUAUUAUCUGAUAAAAACCUUAAAUUUCAGAAAAUACAUUGUCCUCUUUUCUUUGGUUCAUCCUGGCAGUACUUCAGAAUAGCCUGUUUAAGGUAAGGAUACACUCAACCAGUGUAGCCACUAUAUUCCAAAACAAUACUUCUAAAAGAUUUUCUUUUGCUGAAUGGUGUCUUUAAAUUCUGAACAAUUUAUUUGUUGCAGGAUCCCAUCACUAAAUGUUUUUCCAUGCAGCAAACAUAAAACAAUGGGCUUAAUUCCAACAGAGGCACAACCUCGACCAUUAUAUUUAUGUGACUGAAAGGAUUGACAUUUCAUUACAGCUGCACAAUUGAGUGUCAGCAUAACUUGUUCCUCCCAUUAACUUGUGCUCUGUUGCUGCAAUUAAGUUGUAAGAAUGUGAACAUCUCCUGAGUAAAGGCCACUUAUAGCUGUUGCUUUUCCACCAACAAUCCUACAAAAGUAAACAUCAAAUGGAAUUCAGAUUUAAAAAUUAAAGGUAACUGUAAUAUUUUGAAUAUUUUGGAGACUUGAGUAAAUAACUAUAAAUAGCAUUUCAACUGGGCAGGCCCAGUUCCCAAUGGAUAUGAAUCAGCUUCACAAAACAUUCCCCUAAUUCAGGGAUAGUCUGCUCCAAACUAAUCACUUCAGUCAGCGGCUACACAAUGAUGAAAUGGCAAAAUGGAAAACCAUUAACAUUUGUGUAGAAGAUGGGCUUUCCUCAGGUUGAUGUAAAAUUAUAUUUCUGAGAGGCAACAGCGGGAACUUUAGUCUGCAUCUAAUCUUACUGUACCUGACCAGCAGGUCUGAAAUUAGAAAUUGUUUUACUCAACAAGACAAGUAACCCUUCUUCUGAUGUGUGCAAAAUUUGAAGCAAGGAAUUGGCAGUGAUAUGUGAUAGGUAUCUAUGUCUGCUCAUUUUUGCAUAUGCAAGAGUUUAAAGCAAAUACGGGCCUAAUGAAAAAGAUCCUAUCUUUAACUGAACAGUUAUUGUAUGUAUAUAUUUGUAAUUAGGAAACACUACAUUAGGUAAGUAGUGAGCUUAACAGUAUCUUUCUAGACUAUGGUUUACUAGAAAUCCAAUGUCAACCUUUCGUUCUGGUUCACAAACCAUGGAUAUAUGAAGGAACAGCAGCCAUCUCCUGCACUAAUCUAUUUAAAUAUACUGUGAUUGUAUAUAGAGCAACACUGCACAGUCUUAGCAACAUAAUAAUCUAGAACACAAUUGAACUGAGGUUAUAGAAAAUAGUAUUGGGAACUUCUGGAAUUUGCCAUCUUAUUAUAAAGUAGGAAAAGUUUAUUGAGAACAUAUUGUGCAUCUGCAAAACAAUUUACUUAUUUAAUUGUUUACUGAAUAAUAGAUGUGCAUUGUCUUUGUAUUAUAGUAAUAAGGAAGCAACAAGUAUGGAUUUUUUUGAUCAUAACCUCUUUGGUAACGAACAUUUUAUGCCACUGCAAGUAGCAUUUUUAUGUUCUAAGAAGUAUCAAGUAUAGGUUCGUUAUCCUGCCCAGAUUUAUUGAUGCUGCUUGCUGAUAAUUAACAGAUUGCAAAAUCGUUUUUGCUGUUGUGUGCAUAGUUGCAUUAAUGUGGCUGACAAAAUUAUCUUAACUGUUUACCCUCAAAAAUAAGUUGUUAGAUUUUGCUGCUGCUGCUAUACAUUUACCUACGUACGCAGUUUUACAAAGAAAAUGGUGAAAUAUAUCUACCAGCAGAAUAGUAGGUGGUGUUCAGUAGCAGUACUUCCUGUAGCAUGUCCCUGAGCCAAGCAUGAGUCUGCACUCCAAGUGUUGAGAAGUUUAGAAUUAGUUGAAAAGUGUGAAUUAUAUUUCUCUUUACCUACAGUUAGUCUAAACAGGUUAAGAAGACAUGAGACCUCCCAAUUCACCACCACCUCAUUAGCUUUAUUUCAGGACAAAUGCUUUGACUCCGCACUUAUCAACACGCAGAUCAGCACUACUUUGCCAUUGAGGAACGUAUCAAAUGGGAUACCCAGGUUUCUGUCAGUUUUUCCAGACUCCCACUUUGCAAAUUCUUCCAUCUAUUUGUAGCAUUGUAGUACAUUAACUGAGAAGUAAAGCAUUUCUUACAACUAAAGAUAUAUCCUAGCAGCUCAGAGACGUAGGAUUUUUCAACUGUGCAUGAAACAUCUUCACACCAAGAAUUUACAACCAAAGAUGUGGCUGUAAAGUCAGUUUACUUUAUUUGCUCUUUAAUCCUGGAAUUCUAUUGUUUGAAAAAGAAAUUUAAGAUAUGGCUUUGUCAUUGUGAUCAAUUUAGCAUGAAUAUCUGCUUUAGAACUGGCAGCAGAAGUUGUAUUUAUACAUUUAACCAACCAGUAUCAAGUAACCAGUUAUUUUACAGUUAGGAAAGAAUGAUAAUAUAUCAUUUAAAUGUUUAAAAAUAGAUUAUUAAAAGUUUCCAUUCAUCGUACUAUAGCUGUUCUGUAAUACGUAGUCUCCUUCCAUGGUUUCAAACUCUUGCUGAUGUUCAACAUGUAUAGUCAAAAGUUUUCCAUUUUACUUUUUUAACAACCUAUUCAGUGCCAAAACUGACAAUUUUUUAUGGUGGACAUUUCUCUAAUCUUCUAUAUAGAUGCUCAACCCUUAGGUAACAUUGGAGCAGUGUUGUUAUUUAUAGCACGUAUAAGUCCAUUUCUUAACUUUAUUGUUGUUUGGACUAGUGUGUGUUUUAUAAUUUGUCAUCUCUUAGUUGCUUUUUAAUAAAAUGCGCAGUUUAUGAAGAUAUAAAUAAUGGUUGAAACACUGCGUUAAGGUUGAAGUUGUGAGGGUACAGGGAACUUCUGCUGAGCUUGGCGCAGCAAACUAUUGCUGAACUUGGCACAGGGGAAUGUUGCUGAGCUUGUUACACAUUUUUAUCUGGGAACAUUCUUUGGGCAUAACUUAUGUUCUCCGUCAUGCAAUACCUUAAUCUUUUAUUAUUAUGUAAUAUUCUAUACUUUGAGGUGUAUUUGCUUUUAUGGAAAUCGCCCUGAGAUUUAACUGCUGGUUUCAGAGCUUCUCUGUUCCAACAGUGACAUCUAUUAAUGUGUAACUUAUCCUUCGAUUAGAAGUGUAAGAUCGCAUACAUUAUAUGAAGAUAUACUGUGUAUCUUGUUUUCAGUUCCAGUUCAAUAUAUUUGCAUUGAACCAAGGCCUGCAUCCAUUCAAACAGGCUGCAAAAUCUAAUUGCACUGAGAAAAUCAUCUCACAUGUCAAUAUUUCCCAUUGGAAUCCUUAGCUUUCAGAAAUAUAUAAAGGUUACAGCUUGCUCAUGGCCUUUCAAUCAUUGAAAUGGUAAAAAAUUGUGGGAAGCUGGUGCCAAUCUUUCCAAUGUUCUUCCAGUGGCCCAGGCUGUUUACUAGUCACGUAGAUUUAUAAAUGUUGGCCCUUAGAAAAUUUCACAUGGUACAAUGUAAGGAGUAAUUCUAACUAGGCUGACACCAUGACUCUCUAGCAUCCUGUUAAUGCGGUCUUAUAACUAUUAUACUUUCACCAUGGCUAAUCCAAUGGCUAGUUCAAAUUGGACUGUUAAGCAACAUUGCAUUCAGAAUAACACCAUAAAUGUUUAAAAAUUAAUUUUGAUGUCACGAUUGCACAGUACAGUAAAUAAUCCUUUAAAUCAGGGGAAUCAAAGAAAUAAGUUUUAAGCUGCCAUUCCCUUGGGGUAAAGAUCAUGCAAAGCUUUAAAAAGCUGUAGAAAAUUGCUUUCAAAUAGGAACGUUAGAGAGUACUACACACAUUGUUUGUUUUUGAAGGAGAUUAUAUUAAAAAUAAUCACAGAUCGUUUCUGAAGGAGAUUAUAAUAAAAAUAGGUUAAUUUGCGACAGUUACAAACUGAACUCCUACUUGAAUAAUCUAUAAGAUUAAAGAUCUGAAGACCAAUAACAUUCUUAUUACCACUGUUAUCAUAAAUUAAUCCUUAGCGCACUGUUCGGACGUCCGUUGGGAAACAAAAUUUUGUUAACAUUCAAGUAAUAUUCAGUUGGCUGCCAAUGCUUUGCAAGGAAAUAUUUGUUUAAUACAAUAGGUAAGUAAGCUUUGAUAAUGCAGUAUGUUGACGUUCCUGAGAAUGGUAGGUCACACUGUGAGAUUUGAUAUGUGACAAGAUUCUCUCAUCAACCAUCCCACUGUGAAAAAUUUGGGCUGGAAAUAGGUCAUUGAAGGAGUUUCAAGGAAAUUAUUUUUCUGUUAGUUGGAAGGAUAUUUUGUUACUGAAUUCACUUAUACUUGCUUUUGUUAGCUUUCCUGGCAGCAUCCGCAGACGGUUGAUGAGAUAGUUUUAUUAGUUGUCCCAUCAGCUGAAGAAAGUAGAGGCCUUAGAAAUGACUGAACCUCAACUCACAGAGCCAGUCAAAAUGGCUUUUAUUUUGGUUGAAGCUUUGACCUAUGAGCUAUUUGCUUCCCAGUAUGCGUAAUAAGGAGCUAUUAAUGUAGUUAGGUUUUAAGCUUUCAUAGUGAGAUGCUUCACUUGACCAUUUGUUGACAAUGCAUUUACGUCAAGACAAUCAAGACAAAGAUACAGCCAAAGACUGUUAAGAUCACUGAUUUGAGCCUUCAUUAUGCAUGUAAUUUGCCUUUAUAAUUAACUGUUAAACCCAAUAUAAAAUUUGUGUCUUACUAUGAUCUUGUUACUUUUAAUGCAAUGUGCCUUAAUGUUCAUAAUUCUUUUAUGUGGCGCCUUACAGGGUUUUGGGAGGGGAUAAAGCAGCUCGGCUUUCCAGGUCGAAUUAAUAUUCAGCUAUGUGCAAUAUGAAAACAACAAAUCAUAGCAGAACUAGGUUUAAUUUUCGAAACAUUACCCCCGUCAAGAAUCCAGAUAUUACUUAUUACAAUAGACUCAUAAGUGGAUGAGUCAAGGCUGAAAAGGUGGCCAUUCUCCCAACAUGAGUAAGUCAUUAGAACUGACGAGAAAUUUGAGGGCAAAAUUAUAUCUGGAACUUGCUGGCAUUGUCAAACUGUCAUAAUGCACUUCCAAAACUAUUACUCUAAAUAAUAUAACAUACAUGAGUGGGAACUUUAUAGCCUUAACAUCACACAGAUGGAAAGCUGCAUUAUGAAAAUAACAAAAUAGUUGAGAAUGAGCCAUGAGCAGUUGGAAACUACUUUGUUCCACUGUUUAACUAAAAGAAAAUUAUUUUCCAGCAGUUUCAGAAGAUGGAGCAGGUCAGUUACUAAUUAAAGCAAUUGACCAAGUAAAAGAUCAACCAUAGUCCUCAAGUAUUCAUCUGAAAUCUGCUUUUUUUGUAAACUUAAUGCAAGAUAGGCAGGUUUUAUAAUCUGAAUAUAUUUUCAUUUUUCUUUCAAUGAUUAAAUUAACAAACCCAGUAGAUUUCUUACUUAAUAUUGCAUCUUUGUGCCACCUUCUAAUUUGAAUGCAGCAGUUGAAGAAAAUAGCAAUUUUUGAAAAUAAGCCAUAAUUUGCUGCUGUGGCAAAGGCUUUUAAAUUUCAACUGCCGAUAUAUAUAUAUAAAGUCUUAAAAACAUUUUUAGGGCACCUUCCUGAAUUGUACCAUUAUAAAUUCAUAUUGAGGGGAAAAGAGAACAUCGAGAAAUUGAUAAACAGGGCAAGCAACUAUGUGUUACUAUUACUCAUCAAAGUGAAGGUUUGUGAAUUAUAUGUGAAUUGUUCCUGAAAAGUAAGUAUAAGGUCAAGUAUCAAAUGUAUUGCAGGAAGAGUAAUAAAGUGAGUGAAAGAAGGGGAAACAUUUCCUAAACUUUACAUUGAUUUUUAAAAACCUCCAACAGCAAUUAGCAUUUAUUGGAUUGGGCUGAAGUGCGUAAAUCAAAAUAAUUUUUGAAUUCAGUUCACAACUUCUUCUGGUCAUCUGUGUUUCGUGAGAUUCCAUUUUGGUUAACCUAAUGGCCAAGUUGCACAUCCUAGGAGCAAACUUUGGGAUUUUUAUGUAUAACCACAUAGCUGUUCUAAAGCAUGUGUGCUUAAGUAAGACCAAGUCUCAUUGUUAAUUUAACAGCAGGUUAUGAGCCAUUAUGUUUUAGGCUGAAGUUUAAUGAAAUUUAAUGCAGAUGUUGGAUACAGAUGAUUUGAACCUCUUUUUUUAAACACAACACUCAAUUUUUAUCAUUCAUGCUUAAUUAAAGAACAUUGUAAGUUUCUCAAACCCAGUUGGACUUUGAAUUCUCUGAACAUCAGAGCUGCUUAAGUAAAUAUCAUUGUUAUGCUGUAAUUUGCCACAUUUCAAGACAAAAUAGUAACUCCAGCAUAUUCUGCAUCUAUAGGAAAAUUUGUCAAAUAAUGUAGUUUUGUAUUUGAGCUAAUCUUAGUGAUAACAAAAAUUUUAGUUAUCAUUUACAUUAAUGUUAUACAUUAAUCUCUAGCACUGCUGUCUCACGGUGCCAGGGACCCAGGUUCGGUUUCACCCUCUGACAAAUAAUCUGUGUGGAGUUUGCACAUUCUCCGUGUCUAUGGAGUUUCCUCCAGGCAUUUUGUUUCCUCCCAUAAUCCAGAGAUGUGCAGAUUAGGUGGAUUGGCCAUGCUAAAUUGCACACAGUACCCAGGGAUAUGUAGGUUAGGAGGAUUAGCUAUGGGAAAUGUAGGAUUACAGGGAAUAAGGUUGGGCUUGAGGGGUUGGGGAAUGGAUCUGGGUAGGAUGCUGUUUGGAGGGUUCAUGUGAACUCGAGGGCCAAAUGGCCUGCUUCCACAUUGUAGGGAUCAUAUGAUCUUUGAUUACGUGCUACAUAUAGGUGUAAAGCCAGUUUUGUUACCUGAAUUCACAGGGCCUGAAGUAAUUUUCUUGUGAUCUUUGUCAUGUAGCUUGAAGUUGACCACAUAUAUUACAUUUUAUAAAAAGGCUGCAGAUGGUUCUCUGAUAUCAAGGGUCUUGAAAUAUUUUGUUUUGCAAGCAUGCUUAAGUAUGUUAUUGUUCCUGUGUGCUUGUCACAGAUAUGUAUUUUUGCUGCCAUUCUUGAAACACAUGCCUACAUCAUCUCUUCAGUGCAGUCAUCUUCCCCUCUUCCUUUUAACUGCAACCACCAUAAUAUGACCUGGUUUUUAUUGGGAAGAAAACUUGCAAAAGGAUGUAGUCUUGGUACAUAUUUUCAGUUUAUUUCAAUGCGCAGUAUCCCUGUUGAUGAAUUAUGAUUUAAAAUGGGAAUUUCAGAUUUUAGUCAAUUGUAUUUCCACCGUAUUUAUUUUAUGUUUUUUUUAAAAGUUCUCAAAUGGUGAAAACAUGUUGUAAACAAAUUAAUGCUUACAGGAACAAUGAAAUAAAUAAUGUGGGUUUUAUUUUAAAUUCUGCCUGUUUACUAUUGAGAAAAGGGAAUUCUUUAACCUACUUGAAAUAAUGUAUUUGAGAUCGCAGUCAAGCAGUGUGUGAAAGUUCUGUUGGAAUAGGUCAUCUGUGCUUCGGUUUAGUGCCAAUUAUUUGCAAUUUUUUAUUCUGACUCUUGGAUAUGUGCUGAUGGAUUCAGAUAAACUGCACCAUUGUACCUGCAAAAACUACUGAUUGUGUAAUUUGCUGUGUUUUUGAUGUGUGUAAAAUGUGAAUGUCAGAUUUCCAUGAUGAAAAUAGACCUUUAUUCAUAUUCAUAUAAAAAAGAAAAUCCAGAUGAUUAUAGCUAAACUAACUAGACUUUUAAAAAUCCUCUAGGGCAACAUAUUGCAGAUAAUUGACCAUGUAAUAAUAUGUUUAAUGGUUCUCAGUUUUUAGCACUUUGUAAUAACAAUUUUAUCCUGUAUAGACAUUUACCUCAUUAAACAAAGAAAAAUAAAC